CUAGGUUAACGGGCCUCAAUCCCGUAAAAUUUUAGUUAACAACUAAAUACUCUAUCCAGCGAGCUUUAACCUA
RNAcentral lists this transfer RNA (73 nucleotides) under Lygodactylus miops. RNAcentral's name for it is "tRNA-Asn". Lineage: Eukaryota; Metazoa; Chordata; Lepidosauria; Squamata; Gekkonidae. The record is from RNAcentral.